Molecule: ribosomal RNA, 292 nt
Filed under: uncultured Alphaproteobacteria bacterium
Lineage: Bacteria; Pseudomonadati; Pseudomonadota; Alphaproteobacteria
Description: partial 16S ribosomal RNA
Source: RNAcentral
GGACUACACGGGUUUCUAAUCCUGUUUGCUCCCCACGCUUUCGCGCCUCAGCGUCAGUCUCGGUCCAGAGCGCCGCCUUCGCCACCGGUGUUCUUCCCAAUAUCUACGAAUUUCACCUCUACACUGGGAAUUCCACGCUCCUCUCCCGAACUCCAGCCCGCCAGUCUCGCGCGCACCUCCCAGGUUGAGCCCGGGGCUUUCACACGCGACUUGACGGGCCGCCUACACGCCCUUUACGCCCAGUAAUUCCGAACAACGCUCGCCCCCUUCGUAUUACCGCGGCUGCUGGCAC